AUUGAACGCUGGCGGCAGGCUUAACACAUGCAAGUCGAGCGAGAGGCGGACGGGUGAGUAAUGUCUGGGAAACUGCCUGAUGGAGGGGGAUACAUACUGGAAACGGUAGCUAAUACCGCAUACCAUAAGAUGUGCCAAGAUGGGAUGCGCUAGUAGGUGGGGUAAUGGCUCACCUAGGCGACGAUCCAUGGCUGGUCUGAGAGGAUGACCAGCCACACUGGAACUGAGACACGGUCCAGACUCCUACGUGAGGCAGCAGUGGGGAAUAUUGCACAAUGGGCGCAAGCCUGAUGCAGCCAUGCCGCGUGUGUGAAGAAGGCCUUCGGGUUGUAAAGCACUUUCAGCGAGGAGGCGUUACUCGCAGAAGAAGCACCGGCUAACUCCGUGCCAGCAGCCGCGGUAAUUC
RNAcentral lists this ribosomal RNA (406 nucleotides) under uncultured bacterium. Its description in RNAcentral is "partial 16S ribosomal RNA". It matches the Rfam family "Bacterial small subunit ribosomal RNA", at positions 30 to 526 of the family's 1533-position model. The record is from RNAcentral.